UACAGAGGGUGCAAACGUUGUUCGGAAUUACUGGGCGUAAAGCGCGUGUAGGCGGCUCGGAUAGUCGGGUGUGAAAGCCCUGGGCUCAACCCAGGAAGUGCACUCGAUACUGCCGAGCUGGAGUCCCGGAGAGGAUGGCGGAAUUCUCGGUGUAGAGGUGAAAUUCGUAGAUAUCGAGAGGAACACCUGUGGCGAAGGCGGCCUUCUGGACGGUGACUGACGCUGAGACGCGAAAGCGUGGGGAGCAAACAGG
This 253-nucleotide ribosomal RNA is filed under the name uncultured bacterium. Its description in RNAcentral is "partial 16S ribosomal RNA". It matches the Rfam family "Bacterial small subunit ribosomal RNA", at positions 524 to 776 of the family's 1533-position model. The record is from RNAcentral.